CAGUCGCGCGGUAAUACGGAGGGUGCAAGCGUUAAUCGGAAUUACUGGGCGUAAAGCGCACGCAGGCGGUCUGACAAGUCAGAUGUGAAAUCCCCGGGCUUAACCUGGGAACUGCAUUUGAAACUGUCAGGCUGGAGUCUUGUAGAGGGGGGUGGAAUUCCAGGUGUAGCGGUGAAAUGCGUAGAGAUCUGGAGGAAUACCGGUGGCGAAGGCGGCCCCCUGGACAAAGACUGACGCUCAGGUGCGAAAGCGUGGGGAGCAAACAGGAUUAGAUACCCGAGUAGUCCCUGUCUCUUAUACA
This 301-nucleotide ribosomal RNA is filed under the name uncultured bacterium. RNAcentral describes it as "partial 16S ribosomal RNA". It matches the Rfam family "Bacterial small subunit ribosomal RNA", at positions 509 to 808 of the family's 1533-position model. The record is from RNAcentral.